Molecule: small RNA, 28 nt
Filed under: Bombyx mori (domestic silkworm)
Lineage: Eukaryota; Metazoa; Arthropoda; Insecta; Lepidoptera; Bombycidae
Description: ovarian small RNA-15720
Source: RNAcentral
GAGAUCCUGCGCCCUGGCGGAGUGGUUU